RNAcentral lists this ribosomal RNA (235 nucleotides) under uncultured bacterium. Its description in RNAcentral is "partial 16S ribosomal RNA". It matches the Rfam family "Bacterial small subunit ribosomal RNA", at positions 96 to 334 of the family's 1533-position model. The record is from RNAcentral.
UGGCGGACGGGUGAGUAAUGUCUGGGAAACUGCCCGAUGGAGGGGGAUAACUACUGGAAACGGUAGCUAAUACCGCAUAACGUCGCAAGACCAAAGAGGGGGACCUUCGGGCCUCUUACCAUCGGAUGUGCCCAGAUGGGAUUAGCUAGUAGGUAAGGUAACGGCUUACCUAGGCGACGAUCCCUAGCUGGUCUGAGAGGAUGAUCAGCCACACUGGGACUGAGACACGGCCCAG